RNAcentral lists this long non-coding RNA (488 nucleotides) under Homo sapiens (human). RNAcentral describes it as "HSALNT0377624". The record is from RNAcentral. Lineage: Eukaryota; Metazoa; Chordata; Mammalia; Primates; Hominidae.
AUGAUGAUGGCUGGAAUUACCAUGGCAGCAGUGGAAGUGGCAGAAGUGAGAAUUCUGAUUAUAUUGUAAAGAUGCUGUCCGCAGGGUUUGCUAGUGGACUGGGUGUGCAGCAAGAGAGAAAAGAGGGGACAACGAGAACUACAUCAACUAGGAGAGUGAGAAUGGUGAUGUCAUUCCUAAGAAGGGGAAGCCUACAAGAGGAGUUAGUUUGGCAGAAGGGAAAAUAAUCAAGAUUUGUUUUAGACAUGGGUCAGCUCUGCUUCACCCCUGCUUUUGUAUGGAGUUCCAUCUGGGGGGAUUUCGCCCCCUGUUCCAGUCCUGAGGCCUCCUGACCCUGACAUUGUGAUACACUCCACAGAGAUCUGUUUCUUACAUUAUUAUUAUUGGAAAUAAUUAUUGUAAUAUUAUUAUGUAAUAAAUUUAUAAGAAAAAAUCCCAACAGGAUUCAUUUUUACACUAAAAAUUGAAUAUUUUGACAUUUGUAUUUA